RNAcentral lists this long non-coding RNA (6602 nucleotides) under Marmota monax (woodchuck). The record is from RNAcentral. Lineage: Eukaryota; Metazoa; Chordata; Mammalia; Rodentia; Sciuridae.
CGGUGACAAGCACGCGGAGGAGGCCCCUCAGACCCAGGGGGAGGUGCCUGGUGAUGUCACCCUGGCAAUGUUCUGCACGAAGCUGCUACAGCUGCCCUGAGUUCACACCAGAGUCGCCAUCCCAGGAACAAGGGGACGGCAGGACAGUGCCCAAAGCACGGUUUCCAGGUGAAGCGGGUUUUUCUUUGGGGUUUGAUGGCUGUGGGGUAGAAGACCCGGGUAGGAAGGCGGCGAAGGAAAGGAAGGGGACUGUAGCUGGGGAUGUGAAGCACCCACCCCGUAACCUGGGCCCGACCCGCUGGGUCCUCUGGGCCCGUCACUCCCAAAGCUCUGAGAAAUCUCCACGUCUCAGCCUCACUGUGAAGUUACUCAUCUCUGAAAAUCGCCUCCUGCUGGCGAGAUCACCUGCGCCCUGAGCCGCACCAUGCCGCUGAGAUCAGGCAGAGCGCAGCAGGUGUAGUUCAGAAACCUGCGGCCACCUGCAGAGGAGGCGGGGUCCACAGGCAGAUCCCAGGGCCAGGGACACCUCAGGAUCUAUGAUCAAAGAACAGAGCUCACCAGACGGACGUCACCCCACGUGCUUUCCCUGUGCCCACCUGAAACGGCUGAAGGCAGGGUCUUCCCUCUGAAAUAAGAAUAAAGUCCCCCCUGCUGAGGGAAGGGAGCCCAGGGGCUGUGACCCCCCCACACACAGCCCACCAAGGAGCAGCAAAGAAACAGGUGAGUGGAGAGGGAGGUCACCCCUGCCCCUGACCUGUCCAGCAUGGACAACUGGCUGUAUACGUGCCUCCCCAGGCUCUCAGUUCUGUAAACUGCAUCUGCCCCUUGGUGGGGAGAAGCCACCUAGCUGCUUGUCCCCAUUUUGAUCAAACUGCAUAAAUUCCUUUUUCUAUGCGGGUGGGGGACUGGGUCUAGCCAGCCAGGAUCCAGACAGGGUCCCUGGUCAGGUUGCUGGUAACACACCUAUCACAAGGUGUCUUUUAAAAGCCAGCUUCACCUUGUCACCAGGGAGCAUCGCAACCCCCCAGAGGCCUCUCCAUCUUCCCAGACCACGUCAGUUUUCAUCUCCGCCAUGCGACUGACCACCUAUGCACACUAGCUGCCUGUCCUUAAUUCCUGCUUCCCAGUGAUGGGCCUCGUCACCAGAGAGCAUUCUGUGCAGUCACGGGCUGCGUGCCAUGUUCCAGUCCACCUCGGGCCACGCCUCACCUGGUGACAUCACACCGUGAGUACACCCUGCAAAACAACAAAGUUGCCUCAUGACCGCACGUUUCUCAGAACGUCUUCAGAUUCUGCCAUCGACCGCGACUGUGGUCGGCACUAGGAAAAAACCUUUGAGGAUUUCUUUUUCAAAGAACAUAUAACGGUGGGGGGUGCCUCGGUUUCUGCGGGAUCAGGACGCUGGGUGAGAGGACACGUUCGGGUCUAAAUUAGAGAGGCCCCAGUGGUGGAUUCCGCCCAGGGCAGGGCCAGCCAGGAUUCCUGGUGGGGCCAGGAGUGACAGCCCAGGAGAGGGUGGGGCUGGGGAGGCCCUCGGUCCAGGAGGAGGGCCAGGGUCCUCGGUCCAGGAUGGGGGCAGGGCUCAAGGGCACAGGCCCCGAGGAGGAGCAAGCUUGGCCUGGCUGUCCCCAGUGGACGAUAACAAGGUGACAGUAAUAAUGGCCGCUGCUCUCCUGCAGCCAUGACUGCAGCCCCGCCCUGUCCUGGGCACUGUUUGCAGAGCCUCCCAACAGCUCCCUGAGUCGGCUGUCCUCCCGUCCUGGAAGAGGAAGGAGAGGCAGCGCGUCUUAGUCAGCUCUUCACCCUGGGCCAAAAGACCCGGCAAGAACUGUUCUAGAGGAGGAAGUUUACUGGGGCUCACAGUUUCAGAGGUCUCAGUCCACCGUCGGGCAGCUCCUCUGUCCUGGGCCCAAGCGAGGCAGGGCACCAUGGCAGAAGGGCAGGGGAAAUGGCCGCGGGCCUGGGGGAUGCACUCACCAGGCUCAAACGCACACUCAGGGCCAAGAACAGCUUUGUGUCUAAAUCAUUUUGCCCCAAACUUGUGGGUGUUUGUCCUCGCAGCCGCGUGGGCCUCUGUCCUGCUGGUGUUUGACCCGAUUGACCCACACAGGGCCUGCGGCUACCUGGCCGCUGCCCACCCUGCCCGGUGCUGGAGCCCUGGGCCUGCUGGUGGGAGGUCCACACUUGCUGGCGUGAAGCAGCGUGGAAGUGAGCCCACCUCUUCCUUCUGAUGUCUUGGCAUUGGGCAGUCUCAGGUGACAAGCCACGCUGUCCCUUCCUCUCUCCACACCAGGACUGAAAGCCUAUUUGUGCCCAACGCCAGGAAAGUGGAAAUUUCCCCAGGCCUGUUUCUGGUGCUUAGAGAGACCCCGGUGGCCUUUCCUAUUGUUCUUCACCAAAGGAAUUGGGCACCUCUGUUCGGAGCUCGCCUGGUGAGACCGCGACCUAACCCUUGGACCUGGUUCCCCCCGGGAGCCUUGGCUGGGCCGAGAGGGGGCCCGGGCUGCGCUGGGGGCCCUCUGUAUGCAUGUUUGCAUUUUCUUCCCUGAGACGUGGCAGUCGCGGUCCUGCGGUCCCUGCAGCGGGACAGGCACAUGGAGAGCCACCCAGGAAGGUCUGUCACUCUGGGGAGUGCCAGGCUCUCUCCAGCAGCAGACCCCCGCCCAGCCUUCCUCUGCUAGGAAAUACUUCUGCCUCCAGGAAGUAGAGAAGAGGCCAGUGCGGGCCUCGGGCGGCCAGCCAGCUCUGUGAAGCCUGCCCACCGCAUCAGCUCCAGAUGUUUUUCGUUCAAAAUAAAACAUGGAGUGGUCAAUGCCCCUGUGACCUGCCCUCCGCAGUCCCGUCUCUGUCGGCCCCAGGGAUGCACUCGGGGCGUCCAUCGAUGCAGGGCGUCGUGGUCUGCCACACGCGUGGGCCUGUGAACGCCACCCCGUAAGCCACCCAGUUGGCGUGUUUUAAACCAUGCAGGGGUCACACGGCGCUUCCCACAGAUGGCUCUUGUCUGAACUUGACUCCCGUAGGGCCUCCUGCUGGACGGUGUGUGACCAUCAGAUCAAGACAGAAGAGCCGUGUAGAACAGGGCAGGACGGGCAGCUCGGGGGGCAGCGGGGAGGUGCGGGGGGUAGGGAGGGGGCUGUCAUCCAGAAGGUGGUCAGGAGGGCACGGGUCAGUGGCCAGCUCCACCCAGUCCACUGGAGAUUUUCCCCGCACGAAAGUCUUGUGUCCCCUAAAACAAGGGAGCCCAUGAAGUCGAGGGGGAGCACAGGCAGGUCCCCAGCACAGCUCGCGGGCACGGACGGGCACUGACGGGCAUGCCAGACGCCUCUGCAGAUCCCAGUGUCACUCCUGGUGAUGACGUUUUUAUAAUUGUAGAAAUCUGUCCAUCAGGAAAACUGACUUUUUGGGUGAUCAUUUUGGUGACUUCUACACAGAGACUUGUGUGACCACCACCAAGGACAGAAUCCAGAUCAGCUCUGCCGCCCCCCGAAAGCCCCCUGGUGCCAUACCAAGCCGCCCGCGUACUGCAGCUCGCCCAGUUCUUCUGCACACUCAGGAGAAGCCAACCCCAUACGACUUCUUGUUUCUCUCUUAGGAAUUCCCUCGUAGUGGACUAAUUUCUUACUCUUUCCAUUCUCCCCCUUUCAUGACAGGUAAGCGCAGCAUCCUGAUUGCCUUUGUGCGUAGAGAUCAAUUAUAGCAUUUAUGACCUUCUCUGUAGGAGAACAACGAAGCUCUUCACAGGGGGCGGAGGGUUGCGGGGUUGAGAACCCUGGUCCCCAGGAAAUUCCACCAGGUCGUCGGCAACUGCACAAGGUGGGCUUUUUCUCCUUUGAGUGGCCGCCAGCAGCCGGUGUGGCAGGACUCGUAGGAGGAAGACCCAGGUACAGGGCAAAGGGGGCCUGAGGACCCCACGGCUGAUUCACUGUGCAUCUGCGGAUCUUUCAAACCAGGCCUGGCGCUGUGUCACCUCUGGGUCCCUAGCAUGUCUGCUGUCUGAAUGGGUCGCCGUCUUCAGGUCCUCCCCCUUGGACGGCAGUAGGAAGGAUUCGACAGGUGGGUCCCACAGGUGUUGGGGUGACCGCAGGUGUUGGGGUGACCACGUGGCCCCUGCAAGAUGGCAAGGGUCAGUCUCUUGGUUACGGGCUCAUGGGAACACCCAAUUCAAAGAGGCGAUUCGGAUGAGUCUGAGGGAUUUUUUAGAGCGAUUUUAGAUCUGUCCAAAACUGGGGCAGGAAUGGAGGACUCCUCCUGUCCCUCUGAACUGAAGGUGGUUUUACUUAGUGAAAGCUUAGACGGGUCCAAAGGUCCGGAAUGUUCCUUUUAAGUUUCACCCUUUGUGUUUCUCUUCACAGAUGGAAACAGGAACUCCCCUCCCACUCGGCCUGGCUAGCUGGGACAAUAACGAGGAUGGGGACGAUGGGAAGGGCUUGGCAUCCACAGCGCCCUGCGUAGGGACAGGGACGGUAAGGUCCACGGGAAGCUCCCCUGGAAGAUCCAUCCCAAAGACCAACUAUCCAGCCCACCAGGACACAGGCGGAAGGCUGGCCAUGCCUUGGGAUUCUGAGUCCCAUUUAGUCCAACCCCCAGCCCACUCAGGCCACGGUGUUUAGUGAGCACCUGCUACGUGAGGGGUGUGGGAACUAAGCGCCAUGGACCCUACAGCCUGGAGCAGUGACAGGUAUCAGGAGGUGCGCUGUCACACCUGUGUUCUGGUUGGCGUGGUUCUCAUUCCUCGCAUAUCUUCCAAGGAACGCUGCUCUGGAGGAGAGACCCUUCAACCCUGUGCUCAAUUCCUUUGGAAUUCUAACAAUUCAGUCCAGCACACCUUUUAACCCUGCUUAUACUGUUGCCCCAGGUGACCGAGACACCUCAGAGACCAGGCCAGUGCUGGGGGUCACUGAUGGCCCAGCCUGUGUCCCCCCACUCCUCCCCAAGACCCCCAGUCCUGUGCUUGCUUGUGCAGAGCCUUGGGUUCUGUCUCAGCACCACAAAACAACAACAACAACAACAGUAAUAAUAACAACUAUCCCGGGGCCUCCUAGGAUGAGAAACCCACAAGGUGGCUUGAAACAGACCAAAGCUCUCCCUGGCUCUGGGCAACUGGUUACUUAAAAGUACCUCUUUUUCCUAGGACAUUCUGUUUUUAAAUUAAUCAACAGACUGAUUUUUUGGAGCGAUUUUUAACUCCACAGAAAAAUGGAGCAGAAGGACCAGGGUUCCCACGCACCUGACCUGUCCUGCAGCUGGCGUAACAGAGACAGGUCCUUCUCUCCUGUGACCCUGCCGUCCCAAGGUUCUGCUUGUGACCGGCACUGGCCAAGAGAAUGAAAUGUGAUUUUAUUUUUUCUUUUUAAUCAGACUUUACUUUUUAGAGCAGUCUCAGGUUUAAAGACAAAAUCUGUAGUGAAGGAGGCCAGCGUCCCCAACCCCAAGCCCUGCCCCCCCCCCCUCAGUUCUUAGCAUCUGGCAGAGAGGGACGUUGGUUACAAAUGAUGAGUCAAUACGGGUCCAUUAUUAUCAACUAAGGGGUCAGUCUGUGUUGGCUGUUCUGUGGGUUUUGAUAAAGGAAUUGUGACACUUUCCCUCCAUUGUGUAUCUUGCAGAGUGCGCACUGCCUACAAGCCCCCAGACCCCAUCUCUCUCCCUCCUUCCCCAAGUCCCUGACAACCGCUGAUUUUUUUUAAGUUUCUAUAGUUUCCACCUUUAUGAAUCAGCGCGCCUGACCCAAGUCAGUGACGGACCCUGAGGAGGUAAGAGCCCCGGUACCCUCUGUUUGACAGUUGUGCGUGCACAUUGGUGCAGGGGGACACGUGGAGCGAGAGAGUAGAAAAGGCACGGCUCACCCCACUUUACCCCCUCCCACAUUGAAAAUCAGCCUAACUUCCUCAGACCCCCACCCAGGAACCGGGAUGUGAUGGAGACCCAGAGGACGUCAUCAACGGCGUCAAUCCUAGAGCCAGGCCCACGGAGAACCUCGGGAAGGGUUCCUUUGCUCCACACUUCACCUGUAUUUCUGUGUCCCAUGGAGUUCCCAGUGCAACCCACAUGGAUUUGUUUUCUUUGUUUGUUUGUUUGUUUGUUUUUUGGUGCUGGGGAUUAAACUCAGGGACUCGACCACUGAGCCACAUCCCCAGCCCUAAUUUGUAUUUUAAAGAGAGAAUGUGCCUUGGUGCCAAGGCUUGUCUGCUGGAUGCCCCCCCCCCCCACACACACACACACCUGCACCCCUCCCUGCAGGGAGCUCUAGACCAGGAAGAGACCGUCUUCCACAAAAACGCAGAGCGCUCCACAGCCUCAUGGUCACGGAUGCCGAGCAUAAGUAGUGACAGCAGCUUGCCAGUGGGCAGGACUUGGCAGAGAGUCCCCAUGCAAAUCCGCCGCCACACCAGCACGCUCCGCACAGGGCUGUGAAAUCCGCCUUCACUCGCUCAAUUCACACCCUGGCAGAGCUGCCAACAGCUCUGUGCAUCUACGCAAUAACCCUCAUUCUGUCACCGUUUCCUUGACCUUCACACACCCUCUGACAGCAUUUUUUUUGUUUUUGGGAAGUGGGGGCUACCUUUAAGAAAUUAAAAUGUCCAAUUCUGUUGGGGGAGAUCUUA